This 253-nucleotide ribosomal RNA is filed under the name uncultured bacterium. Its description in RNAcentral is "partial 16S ribosomal RNA". It matches the Rfam family "Bacterial small subunit ribosomal RNA", at positions 524 to 776 of the family's 1533-position model. The record is from RNAcentral.
UACAGAGGGUGCGAACGUUGCUCGGAAUUACUGGGCGUAAAGCGCGUGUAGGCGGACCAUUAAGUCAGGUGUGAAAUCCCUGGGCUCAACCCAGGAACUGCACUUGAAACUGGCGGUCUUGAGUGAUGGAGAGGGAUGCGGAAUUCCCGGUGUAGAGGUGAAAUUCGUAGAUAUCGGGAGGAACACCAGUGGCGAAGGCGGCAUCCUGGACAUUGACUGACGCUGAGACGCGAAAGCGUGGGGAGCAAACAGG